This 313-nucleotide ribosomal RNA is filed under the name uncultured delta proteobacterium. Its description in RNAcentral is "bacterial SSU rRNA". It matches the Rfam family "Bacterial small subunit ribosomal RNA", at positions 536 to 847 of the family's 1533-position model. Lineage: Bacteria; Deltaproteobacteria. The record is from RNAcentral.
AAGCGUUGUUCGGAAUUAUUGGGCGUAAAGCGCGUGUAGGCGGUUUUUUAAGUCUGAUGUGAAAGCCCCGGGCUCAACCUGGGAAGUGCAUUGGAAACUGGGAGACUUGAAUACGGGAGAGGGCAGUGGAAUUCCUGGUGUAGGAGUGAAAUCCGUAGAUAUCAGGAGGAACACCAGUGGCGAAGGCGGCUGCCUGGACCGAUAUUGACGCUGAGACGCGAAAGCGUGGGGAGCAAACAGGAUUAGAUACCCUGGUAGUCCACGCCGUAAACGAUGAGUACUAGGUGUCGCGGGUAUUGACCCCUGCAGUGCC